AUUGAACGCUGGCGGCAGGCCUAACACAUGCAAGUCGAACGGUAACAGGAAGAAGCUUGCUUCUUUGCUGACGAGUGGCGGACGGGUGAGUAAUGUCUGGGAAACUGCCUGAUGGAGGGGGAUAACUACUGGAAACGGUAGCUACUACCGCAUAACGUCGCAAGACCAAAGAGGGGGACCUUCGGGCCUCUUGCCAUCGGAUGUGCCCAGAUGGGAUUAGCUAGUAGGUGGGGUAACGGCUCACCUAGGCGACGAUCCCUAGCUGGUCUGAGAGGAUGACCAGCCACACUGGAACUGAGACACGGUCCAGACUCCUACGGGAGGCAGCAGUGGGGAAUAUUGCACAAUGGGCGCAAGCCUGAUGCAGCCAUGCCGCGUGUAUGAAGAAGGCCUUCGGGUUGUAAAGUACUUUCAGCGGGGAGGAAGGGAGUAAAGUUAAUACCUUGGCUCAUUGACGUUACCCGCAGAAGAAGCACCGGCUAACUCCGUG
This 490-nucleotide ribosomal RNA is filed under the name uncultured bacterium. RNAcentral describes it as "partial 16S ribosomal RNA". It matches the Rfam family "Bacterial small subunit ribosomal RNA", at positions 30 to 507 of the family's 1533-position model. The record is from RNAcentral.